GCGGUCUAAGGCGCUGGAUUUAGG
This 24-nucleotide non-coding RNA is filed under the name Cricetulus griseus (Chinese hamster). Lineage: Eukaryota; Metazoa; Chordata; Mammalia; Rodentia; Cricetidae. The record is from RNAcentral.